UGCCCUUGUUCACUCAUUUAAAUCCACGACAUUUAUGUGCUUUAGCUUUCAACUUAUGCAUGUACCAACUCAUUUGGAAAAAUCUAUGAAAUACGUGUCUGCAUCUAAUUGACCUAAUAUCCUUCCCUUUACCGAAUAUUUGGGUAGGUUUAGUUACUGUCUUCUCUUUAUGUCAUGUCACUGCUUAAACCUUUCAUUUUGUUAAUACAUAAUAAAGGCCAAUAUUUUCAGAGGCCUGUGUUGCAAGGGACCAUUUUGUGUCCUUGGUAGUAGAACUAAACUUUCUAGGGAAACAGAACUUGUGUUUCAUGAACUCUUAUUAGAACAAUGUGACACAGAUUUGUCACUUUGCCAUAUAGUCCCUAUUAUAACAGUGGUCGGAUGCAGCAACAAAGUAUUAAUCACAGCAGGUUUUAGCAAGAUUGAGCAUAGUGAAGCUUAUUCUUGUCAACAGAAGGAACAAUUAGUGCCAUGUGGAGAGAUCUAUGAUAUCAAGAGGGAGGUUGGAUUGAGAAAGAGAGAUUAUGGAAGUGGUAUAAAAGAGGCAGGAUCCAACACCAGAACAAGGCUGAAUCUAUGAGAGUACAAACAAAGACUGAAGAAAUGUAAAUUUCUUCAAACCAACAAACAAAGACUGAAGAAAUGCGAAUGUCUUCAAACCAGGACAGUUCAGCCUACAUUUGGACAGUGGAAUAUAUCCUCUGAGCAAAGGGGAACACAUUUUCCUCACAUAUGUUCAACUAAUGGAUCUCUUGUGACAAAGUCCCCAUUUCUUGUGUUUUUGAGGUUUGGAUGAGUUGAGUGCCUGGCUUCAUACUGUAGUCAAGACUCGUACCUGAGUCAGUGAAA
Mangifera indica (mango) is the source of this 849-nucleotide long non-coding RNA. RefSeq lists it as uncharacterized. The record is from RefSeq and is a predicted model, not a curated record. Lineage: Eukaryota; Viridiplantae; Streptophyta; Magnoliopsida; Sapindales; Anacardiaceae. The transcript has 2 exons.